Molecule: ribosomal RNA, 254 nt
Filed under: uncultured bacterium
Lineage: Bacteria
Description: partial 16S ribosomal RNA
Rfam family: Bacterial small subunit ribosomal RNA
Source: RNAcentral
UACGUAGGGGGCGAGCGUUACCCGGAUUUACUGGGCGUAAAGCGCGUGUAGGCGGCUGGUCAAGCGUGGUGUGAAAUCUCCGGGCUCAACCCGGAAACUGCAUUGCGAACUGACCUGGCUGGAGUGCAGGAGAGGGCAGCGGAAUUCCCGGUGUAGCGGUGAAAUGCGUAGAGAUCGGGAAGAACAUCGGUGGCGAAAGCGCUCUACUGGACGGUGACUGACACUCAGGGACGAAAGCUAGGGGAGCGAAUGGG